CCUGUCCGAGCGUCAUUUCUGCCCUCAAGCACGGCUUGUGUGUUGGGUGCGGUCCCCCCGGGGGCCUGCCCGAAAGGCAGCGGCGACGUCCGUCUGGUCCUCGAGCGUAUGGGGCUUUGUCACUCGCUCGGGAAGGACUGGCGGGGGUUGGUCACCACCACAAAAUUUUACCACGGUUGACCUCGGAUCAGGUAGGAGUUACCCGCUGAACUUAAGCAUAUCAAUAAGCGGAGGAAAAGAAACCAACCGGGAUUGCCUCAGUAACGGCGAGUGAAGCGGCAAGAGCUCAAAUUUGAAAUCUGGCCCCCUCGGGGUCCGAGUUGUAAUUUGCAGAGGAUGCUUCGGGAGCGGUCCCCAUCUAAGUGCCCUGGAACGGGCCGUCAUAGAGGGUGAGAAUCCCGUCUGGGAUGGGCGGCCGCGCCCGUGUGAAGCUCCUUCGACGAGUCGAGUUGUUUGGGAAUGCAGCUCUAAGCGGGUGGU
This 480-nucleotide ribosomal RNA is filed under the name Talaromyces funiculosus. RNAcentral describes it as "eukaryotic LSU rRNA". The stretch from base 178 to 480 matches the Rfam family "Eukaryotic large subunit ribosomal RNA", at positions 1 to 300 of the family's 3401-position model. Lineage: Eukaryota; Fungi; Ascomycota; Eurotiomycetes; Eurotiales; Trichocomaceae. The record is from RNAcentral.